This 377-nucleotide unclassified non-coding RNA is filed under the name uncultured Gammaproteobacteria bacterium. RNAcentral's name for it is "contains 16S-23S intergenic spacer region". Lineage: Bacteria; Pseudomonadati; Pseudomonadota; Gammaproteobacteria. The record is from RNAcentral.
UCCGGUUUGUCACCGGCAGUCUCAUUAGAGUGCCCAACUGAAUGUAGCAACUAAUGACAAGGGUUGCGCUCGUUGCGGGACUUAACCCAACAUCUCACGACACGAGCUGACGACAGCCAUGCAGCACCUGUGUGUCGGCUCCCUUUCGGGCACACCCACCUCUCAGCGGGCUUCCGACCAUGUCAAGGGUAGGUAAGGUUUUUCGCGUUGCAUCGAAUUAAUCCACAUCAUCCACCGCUUGUGCGGGUCCCCGUCAAUUCCUUUGAGUUUUAAUCUUGCGACCGUACUCCCCAGGCGGUCGACUUCACGCGUUAGCUACGACACUGAAUGACUAUGUCACCCAACAUCCAGCACACAUCGUUUACGGCGUGGACUAC